AGACAAUGGAGGAGCAGAUGACGGCUGCACUUUGUAAACCGGACUUAUUGUUUAUUUACAAGUGUGUGCGUCCAUGAAGAUGUACCUGUUUUGUAUUGGUUCAGCCAGAGGGACUGCAGUGUAAUGAGAUCUUCAUUUCUUUGUAACUGUUUUGUAUUGGUUUAGCCAGAGACUGCAGUGUGAUGAGACCUUCAUUUCUCUGUUAACUUAUGUCGCAGCGGUGCCUGGAUAGUGUGACGUGUGUGGUUGUGCUGCUGCCGUGGUCCUGCCUGAUGCCUCCUGUUGCUGUUAUCAUUAGUCAUUAGUCAUACUUCUACUGUUAUUAUAUAUGAGUAUUGUCACAUAUGUAUACUAUCAGAUAUUAAUAUAUACUUUCAACAUAUUGUACCACAGUAGCCGUAAUUAGAAUUAUAUUAUUACUUUAAUUAAUGUUGUUGUAAGCUACUGUCAUUACCGU
Epinephelus moara (kelp grouper) is the source of this 457-nucleotide long non-coding RNA. RefSeq lists it as uncharacterized. The record is from RefSeq and is a predicted model, not a curated record. NCBI's taxonomy places the organism in Eukaryota, Metazoa, Chordata, Actinopteri, Perciformes, Serranidae. The transcript has 4 exons.